UUUUUUUUUUAAUUUCCAAUUAUUGUGAUAGUUUCUUUACUGCCUUAUUUAGCUGGGAUUGAUGAAUUAUGUUGGCAUGUUUUGGAUAUAAGCAAAUGUUUUAUGAUUUGCUGAUGUUACUGCCUUUUGUUAAAUUUUAUAUUUUGAUAAGAUUUAUAAUAAAUGUUGAAUAGAUUGUAUAUUUUUAUAACAAUUUACAAAUGAUUAUAGCUAAUAUUUCACAUUAUGUUAUAUUAUCAGGAUAACUUGCUUUAUAUAUGAAAAAACAUUUCAUUUGCAACGUUUAUGUACAAAUAGGAAUCAAGCCUUUUUGAUUCACAUUUUAAAACCAAGAGCCGAGUUAGAUAAUUCAAGUGCCUAUCACUAUACCAGAAAAGAGACAAGAGACAAUUUCACUAUUUGUCUUGAAAGGUUGACAUGCAGAAUUUUGAUGAAGUAAUUUUUUUGAAACAGACAUUUGCAUGUCAGAUAAGAACCUCUAAACAAAAUAUAAUAAAAAUUAGAAUUAAACAUACAUUUUUAUACUCAUAGAUUGGAUGACCCUUUACCAAAUCUGGAUGUCCAUAUGUCCACUUAUCAGUCACCUUUCAGUUUUUUUCCAAUUUCCUUAUUUUAGGAUCAGCUGUACAAAGUCAAGGGGACUAACUGACUAACUAUAGUUUGUGUCUGCUACUGCAUGCAUGUUUAAAGUCAUCAUUUCUAAAUCAAAAGAUUAUGGCCAUUUGAUUUCUAGAAAUUCAAGUAAUUCAUAAGUUUUGUUGUAGUUGACCUGCUCUUGACAACCUUUAUAUUUGUAGAAAAUUUCUUCAAAAUUAAAAUUCUUAGUUCUGUUGUAAGCUGUCAUCAUGGUUACCAUAAUUAAGAAAUAAUUGAUGCAAGCUAUACUUUAUUGUAGUUUUAACAUGGGUAGGCAUUUUAUACGUGAUUAUUUUGCCUGAGUGAUAAUGAGGGCUAAAAUAACACGAAUAUGAUGCCUACCUAUGUUAAAACUACAAUUAAGUAUAGCUUGCAUCAAUUAUUUCGAUUCUGAAUAGGACAAUUAAGGUAAUUUCUAUGUCCGAUAAGUAUAAGUGUAAACGGGUUUGUGUAGGCUCGUCCAUAAACCUUAGUCCUCCCUUUUUUGUUUGUAAAGAAGCAACGGCUGGCACUGUGAUUUUUCAGAGUGAGGAGUUUGAACAGCCAGCACGAACAGUUGUUGUAUCUAGGUCAAAUAUGUCAAUUUCGGAAUGCAACACAUUACAGUCAUAAUAAAGGAAUUAGUUACAUCAUGUGCACCAUUUAAGAGUUUGAAUGUUUUUUUAAAGUUAAGGAAAUAUAUUAAGUGCAUGAUAAUUUGAUAAAAUUCAUUAUUCUGAAGAAGUCAAGAUACGCAUGUGCAAACAAAUUUUAUUGGAUUAAGGAGCGUUUGUUUGUUCACAAAGCGAAACAAGCACAUCAUAUUAGAAUUGGUAUUAAAUUAUUAAGUAGUCAAUAAAAGAUUCCUUAAGGUAGUAUGGGUGUCUUUCGCCAUCUUGGAUUGUAAAAAACAGAGAAUGUAAGGUCAAAA
This 1546-nucleotide long non-coding RNA is filed under the name Mytilus galloprovincialis (Mediterranean mussel). The record is from RNAcentral. Lineage: Eukaryota; Metazoa; Mollusca; Bivalvia; Mytilida; Mytilidae.